AGUGUGUUAGACUGACGUGAUAACCAACUACACCACGACACCGCUGUGUCCAUUUCGCUCCCAACUAAUCACCUAUAUCGCCAAAGCCGGUAUUAUUUUGGCGGCAAGCAAGUGAUUUUUCUGAAAUCUGAACAGCAAUCGAAUUGAAACCAAUAGGGUUUUCGUUUUUUUGUCACAGUGAAUCUUCUUGUUUUGUUGAAGCUCCACUAGCCCACAUGAAUCACUGAAUUUCUCAGCAUGAAGUAGUAAACUUGAUAUCUUACAGUUACCGGCAUUGCCCCUACAAUCAAGCGAGCGCCAUUGAAAUGGACGGAGCAGCAGCAGCUUCUUCACCGUCGACUAUUAAACCCAUAAACAAGAGCGUAGUCCAUAGAAUUUGUGCGGGUCAAGUUAUUCUGGACCUUCCCUCUGCCGUCAAGGAAUUGGUUGAAAAUAGCUUGGACGCCGGAGCUACCAGCAUCGAAGUCUCCCUCAAAGACUAUGGUUCUGAAUCCUUCCAGGUCAUUGAUAACGGUUGUGGCAUCUCGCCUCAAAAUUUCAAGGUAUUGGCGCUAAAACAUCAUACCUCAAAACUAUCAGAUUUUCCUGAUCUUCAGUCAUUAGUGACUUUUGGAUUUAGAGGGGAGGCAUUGAGUUCACUUUGUGCUUUAGGGGAUUUGACAGUUGAAACAAGAACAAAGAAUGAGCAAAUUGCGACACACUUGACUUUUGAUCAUUCGGGCCUUCUGAUAGCUGAAAGGAACAUAGCUCGCCAAGUUGGUACCACUGUCACUGUUAAGAAGUUGUUCUCCACUUUACCAGUGAGAAGUAAAGAAUUCCACCGCAAUAUCCGGAAGGAAUAUGGAAAGCUUAUCACAUUGCUGAAUGCCUAUGCUCUUAUUUCUAAGGGAGUCAGACUAGUUUGUACCAACUCAGCUCUAAAAAAUGCAAAAUCUGUAGUUCUGAAGACUCAGGGAAGUGGAUCUCUGAAAGAUAACAUUAUAACAGUAUUUGGUAUGAGUACCUUCACUUGUCUGGAGCCUCUGGAAGUGUGUAUGUCUGAUGAUUGCACUGUUGAAGGAUUCAUUUCCAAGUCUGGCUAUGGUAGUGGACGCAACUUAGGAGAUCGACAAUAUUUUUUUGUGAAUGGACGACCGGUGGAUAUGCCAAAAGUUGGCAAGCUUAUCAAUGAAUUAUAUAGAGGUGCAAACUCUCGGCAAUAUCCCAUUGCAAUCAUGAAUUUUGCGAUGCCACCAAGAGAAUUUGAUGUCAAUGUAACUCCUGAUAAAAGAAAAAUAUUUUUGUCUGACGAAGGUUCCAUAUUGCACUCUUUGAGAGAAGCUUUAGAAAAGAUAUAUUCAUCUAAUCAUGCUAGUUAUGCUGUUAAUAGUAUCCAAGAGGUUGACCAAAAACAUACAUCCACUCUUUCCCAUCUUAAGGCCUUUCAGUUUCAAUCCAAGCAAUUACUGUCGGAUAUUAAUGAUGAUCAGGAAGGUGACUGCGUUGGGAAACUACAUAAAGAGGGUCAUUUUCUAAAAAAAUCUCAGGAAUUAAAUGAUAUGCCUGUCACAGAAAUUAUGCUAAAUGAUGGACACAGGUCAACAGAGAAAGACUUCAGUCUUCGAUUCCAUGGAAAGAAAAAAGACAAUAACAGUUCCAGAAGUUCCCUGCAAGAGAUUGGUGGUCUGCCUACUGCUAUAACCGAUAGAAAUGCACUCACCCCAUGCUCAAAAGAUAAAAGUUGUAUUGAUAAUUCACGUUACGUCAAUUGUGCAAGCAUUGUCCAGUCAUCACUCACCAAAUUUGUUACGGUAAAUAAGAGAAAGCACGAGAGUAUGAGUACUACAUUAUCUGAGGUACCUAUCCUGAGAAAUGGAUCAACUGUCCACCCAUCAGAAGAAGACCAUACUUUGAAGAAUACUGCAUCUUUAAGAUCUCCAGAUAAUCCAGUUAAGGCUGAUAAGUGUGAUGAAGUGACCAUUAGUGAGUCUGGAUCUUCCAAGAUCUCAAAGAUAGACAGAUUUCUUCAUCAAAUGAAGCACUCAAGAAUGGGUAAAGUCCUUGAUCAAACAAAUGAUUUUUCUCCACCUGGAAAUAGUAUACAAAUUGGAACAUCUGAACAGGAGCAUGAAGUUCAAAUGAAUGAAUUAUGUGUUACUGAACCAGUGCCUCUUGAUUCUACUUGCAACAACAUCCAUGAUGUGUCAGAAAAUAGGGUAGAUGCUUCUUCGUCUGAACAGCCUGCUAGUCUGACUCUGGAUGAUGCUCCUAAAGCUUCAUCUAAUUCGAAGAUUGCUUCAACAUUGCAAUUUAGUGUGAAAGAACUUGUAUCAAGAAGGAACCAGAGGCUGUCAAGAUUGCAACUCCUUAAUCAUACAUCUCAAACAAUGAAAACAAAGAGGGAUUAUGCUGCAGCAACCCUGGAGCUCUCCGGAUCAGAAAAUGAAGAGGCGAAGGCAAGGGCAUUGAUUGAUGCUACCAAUGAGUUGGAGAGACUUUUCAAGAAAGAAGAUUUUACUAGAAUGAAGGUGAUCGGGCAAUUCAAUCUUGGAUUCAUUAUAGGCAGGUUGGAUCAAGACCUUUUUAUUGUUGAUCAGCAUGCGGCAGACGAGAAAUAUAAUUUUGAGCGCCUGUCACAAUCAACUAUCUUGAAUCAGCAACCUUUACUUCGGCCCUUGAAGUUGGAACUAUCUCCUGAAGAAGAAAUAGUUAUUUCCAUCCACAAUGAUACUUUCAGGAGAAAUGGAUUUCUCUUGGAAGAGGAUCCGUGUGCUCCUCCAGGGCAUCGUUUUAAGCUAAAAGCAGUUCCCUUCAGCAAAAAUAUAACUUUUGGAAUUGCAGAUAUGAAAGAACUCAUUUCCAUUCUUGCCGAUAGUGAGGAAGAAUGUUCCAUAAUGGGUGCUUAUAGGAAUGAUACAGCUGAUUCAUUAUGUCCUCCUAGAGUUCGUGCAAUGUUGGCAUCACGUGCCUGCAAAUCAUCUGUUGUUAUUGGAGAUCCACUUGGGAGAAAUGAGAUGCAAAAGAUACUUGAUAAUCUCUCGCGCCUCAAGUCUCCAUGGAAUUGUCCACAUGGUAGACCAACAAUGCGUCACUUGGUUGAUCUGAGGACUGUACAUAGAAGAUUAGAAGCGGAUGAUACCACCUUAUGAACUCCAGUUGACAGCAUCACCUAGCUAAUCGAAGCAGGAACCUUCUUUCUGUGGAGAAAAGGACACUGGCUUCUGGGUGACUAUGUGUGCUAUGCUCUCACCCCUCCUUCCAUCCGCGACAUAGUGCAGAAGGUAAAAAGUUUUUUUCAAAGUUUGGUAUUGUUAUAACAAUUUUUAAUCAAAGUUGAGGUAUAUUUCAGACAUAUUUCCUCAUUUCAAAUGAAGCAAACCUGACAAAUAAAUUUAAGACACAA
Molecule: RNA transcript, 3382 nt
Organism: Solanum lycopersicum (tomato)
Lineage: Eukaryota; Viridiplantae; Streptophyta; Magnoliopsida; Solanales; Solanaceae
Gene name: DNA mismatch repair protein PMS1
Source: RefSeq, a predicted model, not a curated record